RNAcentral lists this small RNA (128 nucleotides) under Marmota monax (woodchuck). The record is from RNAcentral. Lineage: Eukaryota; Metazoa; Chordata; Mammalia; Rodentia; Sciuridae.
GCCAGGCAUGGUGGUGCAUGCCUGUAAUCCCAGUGGCUUGGGAGGCUAAGGCAGGAGGAUUGUUGAAUUCAAAACCAGCCUGUGCAAUUUAGCAAGCCCCUAAGCAACUUAGUGAGACCCUGUCUCAA